This 350-nucleotide long non-coding RNA is filed under the name Oryza brachyantha (malo sina). Its description in RNAcentral is "long non-coding RNA (OBRA_LNC000634)". Lineage: Eukaryota; Viridiplantae; Streptophyta; Magnoliopsida; Poales; Poaceae. The record is from RNAcentral.
UCAAGACAUCUUUUUUUAAUAACACCACACCCCUGAGCCCUACAUGCAGCGUGAGCAACUUCUGCUUUAUUUUCGUGUAUGUAUGGGAGUUUCAGCUAAUCUCUAGGAGGCGAUCCGCAGCCGCAGAUGAACUGCCAGAUGCUCCUCUUGACGUUGUUACGCUUGGACUUCCCCAUUCCUGCUCCAGAAAUCUCUGAGAUGCACACACUCUAAUGCUUCAAAAUGCCCCUGAAAAUAAAGUAGCCAUUUGAAAAUCUCCUAGAACCAAAUUAGCAAAGAUGAAAGAACUAUAUAUACAGCUAAUAAAUAGCAGAAACGAACCAGCAGAGAGUAUCCUACUUCAGGCCAGG